Molecule: ribosomal RNA, 534 nt
Filed under: uncultured Fusobacteriota bacterium
Lineage: Bacteria; Fusobacteriati; Fusobacteriota
Description: bacterial SSU rRNA
Rfam family: Bacterial small subunit ribosomal RNA
Source: RNAcentral
UACGGGAGGCAGCAGUAAGGAAUCUUCCACAAUGGACGAAAGUCUGAUGGAGCGACACCGCGUGAAGGAUGAAGGCCUAACGGUUGUAAACUUCUUUUCUGAAGGAGCACAAUGAGAGUACUUCAGGAAUAAGGGGGGGCUAAUUAUGUGCCAGCAGCCGCGGUAAUACAUAAUCCCCAAGCGUUACUCGGAAUUACUGGGUGUAAAGGGUUCGUAGGUGGAUUUUUAAGUCAGAUAUGAAAGACCGGAGCUCAACUCCGUGUUUGUGUUUGAAACUGGAAAUCUAGAGUUAGGAAGGGGUAAGCGGAAUUCUAAGUGUAGGGGUGCAAUCCGUAGAUACUUAGAAGAACACCAAAAGCGAAGGCAGCUUACUGGUACUAUACUGACACUGAGGAACGAAAGCGUGGGUAGCGAAAAGGAUUAGAUACCCUUGUAGUCCACGCCCUAAACGAUGAUAACUAAGUGUUGGGAUUUAUCCCAGUGCUGAAGCUAACGCAUUAAGUUAUCCACCUGAGGAGUACGGCCGCAAGGUUA